This 510-nucleotide ribosomal RNA is filed under the name uncultured bacterium. RNAcentral's name for it is "partial 16S ribosomal RNA". The record is from RNAcentral.
GGAGUUAGCCGGUGCUUCUUCUGCGAGUAACGUCACAGAUGUAAGGUAUUAACUUACACCCUUUCCUCCUCGCUGAAAGUGCUUUACAACCCGAAGGCCUUCUUCACACACGCGGCAUGGCUGCAUCAGGGUUUCCCCCAUUGUGCAAUAUUCCCCACUGCUGCCUCCCGUAGGAGUCUGGGCCGUGUCUCAGUCCCAGUGUGGCUGAUCAUCCUCUCAGACCAGCUAGGGAUCGUCGCCUAGGUGAGCCUUUACCUCACCUACUAGCUAAUCCCACCUGGGCUUAUCCAUCAGCGCAAGGCCCGAAGGUCCCCUGCUUUCCCCCGUAGGGCGUAUGCGGUAUUAGCAGUCGUUUCCAACUGUUAUCCCCACAAAUGGGCAAAUUCCCAGGCAUUACUCACCCGUCCGCCGCUCGUCAUCUUCAAAAGCAAGCUUUUGAAAUGUUACCGCUCGACUUGCAUGUGUUAGGCCUGCCGCCAGCGUUCAAUCUGAACCAAGAUCAAACUCUGA